UCCUACGGGAGGCAGCAGUGGGGAAUUUUGGACAAUGGACGCAAGUCUGAUCCAGCCAUGCCGCGUGCAGGAUGAAGGCCUUCGGGUUGUAAACUGCUUUUGUACGGAACGAAAAGCCUCUUUCUAAUACAGGGGGGUGAUGACGGUACCGUAAGAAUAAGCACCGGCUAACUACGUGCCAGCAGCCGCGGUAAUACGUAGGGUGCAAGCGUUAAUCGGAAUUACUGGGCGUAAAGCGUGCGCAGGCGGUUUUGCAAGACAGUGGUGAAAUCCCCGGGCUCAACCUGGGAACUGCCAUUGUGACUGCAAGGCUGGAGUGCGGCAGAGGGGGAUGGAAUUCCGCGUGUAGCAGUGAAAUGCGUAGAUAUGCGGAGGAACACCGAUGGCGAAGGCAAUCCCCUGGGCCUGCACUGACGCUCAUGCACGAAAGCGUGGGGAGCAAACAGGAUUAGAUACCCUGGUAGUCCACGCCCUAAACGAUGUCAACUGGUUGUUGGGGAUUUAUUUCUUCAGUAACGAAGCUAACGCGUGAAGUUGACCGCCUGGGGAGUACGGCCGCAAGGUUAAAACUCAAAGGAAUUGACGGGGACCCGCACAAGCGGUGGAUGAUGUGGUUUAAUUCGAUGCAACGCGAAAAACCUUACCCACCUUUGACAUGUACGGAAUCCUGCAGAGAUGCGGGAGUGCUCGCAAGAGAGCCGUAACACAGGUGCUGCAUGGCUGUCGUCAGCUCGUGUCGUGAGAUGUUGGGUUAAGUCCCGCAACGAGCGCAACCCUUGCCAUCAGUUGCUACGAAAGGGCACUCUGAUGGGACUGCCGGUGACAAACCGGAGGAAGGUGGGGAUGACGUCAAGUCCUCAUGGCCCUUAUAGGUGGGGCUACACACGUCAUACAAUGGCUGGUACAAAGGGCUGCCAACCCGCAAGGGGGAGCCAAUCCCAUAAAGCCAGUCGUAGUCCGGAUCGCAGUCUGCAACUCGACUGCGUGAAGUCGGAAUCGCUAGUAAUCGUGGAUCAGCAUGUCACGGUGAAUACGUUCCCGGGUCUUGUACACACCGCCCGUCACACCAUGGGAGCGGGUUCUGCCAGAAGUGGUUAGCCUAACCGUAAGGAGGGCGAUCACCACGGCAGGGUUCGUGACUGGGGUGAAGUCGUAACAAGGUAACCA
RNAcentral lists this ribosomal RNA (1167 nucleotides) under uncultured bacterium. Its description in RNAcentral is "bacterial SSU rRNA". It matches the Rfam family "Bacterial small subunit ribosomal RNA", at positions 337 to 1502 of the family's 1533-position model. The record is from RNAcentral.